This is a non-coding RNA of Chrysemys picta bellii (western painted turtle), 499 nucleotides long. The record is from RefSeq and is a predicted model, not a curated record. Lineage: Eukaryota; Metazoa; Chordata; Testudines; Emydidae.
CUGCUCCUGGAGCCCCUGGACGCCGUGGACCCAGUGCUCCUGCAGCUUCCUGGUGCAGCAGCGCUACCGGAACCAGCGGGGCCCGGGCCCCCAGGGGGCGCUGUGCGUGGGGCUGGACGGCGAGUUCCGCGCCUGCGACUCCUCCCAGUGCUCGGAAGCCAACUGUGAGCCUCCCUUUGAGUUCCGGGAGUGCGGGAUCCCCUGCGCCGGCCUGUGCUCCACGCUGCAGCACCAGGAGCUGUGCACAGCCAUCCCCCGGUGCCUGCCCGGCUGCUACUGCCCGCAGGGCCUGGUGGAGCAGAGGGGAACCUGCGUGCCCCCCGCGCAGUGCGGCUGCCUCCACCUCCGCCCGGGCGAAGGGCCCGUCUACCUGGCGGCCGGGGACACUGUGCUCGUGGGCUGCAAAGAAUGCGUGUGCCAGGAGGGGACGCUGCAGUGCAGCAGCGAGAGCUGCCAGGGUAAGUACCCUCCUCCCCCCCCACGGGCACCAGCGGGCGCC